This 723-nucleotide long non-coding RNA is filed under the name Eucalyptus grandis. RNAcentral's name for it is "long non-coding RNA (EGRA_LNC005783)". Lineage: Eukaryota; Viridiplantae; Streptophyta; Magnoliopsida; Myrtales; Myrtaceae. The record is from RNAcentral.
GCCCGUGCGGGUGUUGGGUCCUUGAGAAGCGAUCAUGACGGAUGACAAUAACUGGAUGCCGACGCCGCUGGGUGGUGUGGGAGGCGGGGGCGCUGAAGCUGCGCUCGACGGGGGCGAUUGGAGGGCUCAAUUGCCCCCCGAUUCGCGGGACAGGAUCGUCCACAAGAUGUGAGUGCCUCCUUCCUUCGCUUGGGUUUUUGAUGUUUCAUCGUUUCGCAGGGUGAAGCGUGGAGUUCAUGAGGGAUCUUUGCUUAGGAGCGAUUUCCGAGGGUUUAGUAUGUUAAAGGAAGUAAUGGUUUUGCAAUAUGGUCCUGUUAUUUGGUCGAGGCGCGACAUGAAUUCUGAGGAAUCUUUUGCUGUAAAUUCUGUUUGGUUGGAUAGUUUUGGUUAGGUUUAGUAUGUAUCAAUGUGGGAUUUAGCUGGUAUGUAGGGGCGCAACUCUUGUUAUUGUAAUUUGGAUGUAAUUCUUUCUUAAGUGUAGAGGUAAGGUUUGGCAGGAAAUCAAUUGCAGGAUGAUUUCCCGUUAUGCUGGUGACAAAAAUUUAUGUAUCUGGAACCUGAGGAUUUUUAAGCGUCUUAUUGCUUUUAGGUUGUACUAUUUUCUAUUAAUCUCAAAUUUAUUGGUCCAUAUACGCCGUUGCUGGAAGACAUACGUGGGCAACAAGGUGCGAUGGCGGGUUGGGGGUAAAGUCGUUGGCUCUUGUAUAUACAGCUUUGCUUGGG